GUCUCGGUGGUCUAAAGGCUUAGGACGCUCGCACGGAAUGCAAGAGAUCCGGGUUCAACUCCCGGCCAAGACA
This 73-nucleotide transfer RNA is filed under the name Trachymyrmex cornetzi. It matches the Rfam family "tRNA". From Rfam's summary of the family: Transfer RNA (tRNA) molecules are approximately 80 nucleotides in length. Their secondary structure includes four short double-helical elements and three loops (D, anti-codon, and T loops). Lineage: Eukaryota; Metazoa; Arthropoda; Insecta; Hymenoptera; Formicidae. The record is from Rfam by way of RNAcentral.